CGGAGGCUCAACAAACUGAGCCACCCAGGCGCACUGGAAAAAAAAUACAGGUAAACUUAGUCUAUUUCUGGCAACCUAUUGACUAGGAAUUUAAUGGCCUACUUGAGUUUUCAGGAACACAUGGCCUCCUAUAUGGUAUAAACACUUCGGGGCACCUGGCUGGCUCAGUGUCUAGAACAUGUGACUCUUGUCUCAGGGUCAUGAGUUCGAGCCCCACAUUGGGUGCAGAAAUUACUAAAAAAGUAUAUAGCACUUACCUUUGACCAGAGGAAGUGUGAGCACAGAAUGCAAAGACUCCUUUGAGCUUGUUUACUUAUCUAUAAAAUAAUGUUGAUAAUUCUUAACCCAUCGUGAGGACUGAAAAUAUGUCUGUGAAAGGACUCUGGGAACCAUGAGGCAUAUCGAUGGUGGUAAUAAUCGACUCCCGACUUCCCUUUGAACUGAGAGUUGGUCACAGCACUCUGGCUGAUUAGAUUGGAUUAGAAAGCAGGAAAACUU
This is a long non-coding RNA of Herpailurus yagouaroundi (jaguarundi), 498 nucleotides long. RefSeq lists it as uncharacterized. NCBI's taxonomy places the organism in Eukaryota, Metazoa, Chordata, Mammalia, Carnivora, Felidae. The record is from RefSeq and is a predicted model, not a curated record. The transcript has 2 exons.